CUAAUUCUCGAUGGUCUCUGGUAACGAAAGUUACCCGAGUAAAGAAUUUCGGGCGGGGCAGAUCCUGCGUCCUAUCAGCUUGUUGGUGAGGUAACGGCUUACCAAGGCUAUGACGGGUAGGGGGUGUGAGAGCACGACCCCCAACACUGGGACUGCGACACUGCCCAGACACCUACGGGUGGCUGCAGUCGAGAAUCUUCGUCAAUGGGCGAAAGCCUGAACGAGCGACGCUGCGUGGAGGAAGAAGGCCUUCGGGUUGUAAACUCCUGUCGUGUGGGAAGAACUUUGACGGUACCACACAAGAAAGGGGCGCCUAACUCUGUGCCAGCAGGCGCGGUAAUACAGAGGCCCCGAGCGUUACCCGGAUUCAUUGGGCGUAAAGCGUCCGCGGGCGGCUUGUUGCGUCGAUUGUGAAAUCCUUGGGCUCAACCCAAGAACGCCAAUCGAUACGAGCAAGCUAGAGGCAGGGAGAGGUCAGUGGAACUCGUGGUGAAGCAGUGAAAUGCGUUGAUAUCACGGGGAACACCAAUUGCGAAGGCAGCUGACUGGUCCUGUCCUGACGCUCAUGGACGACAGCGUGGGGAGCGAAUGGGAUUAGAUACCCCAGUAGUCCACGCCGUAAACAUUGCCAACUAGGCAUUGGGAGUAUCGACCCUCUCAGUGUCGAAGCUAACGCG
Molecule: ribosomal RNA, 677 nt
Filed under: uncultured bacterium
Lineage: Bacteria
Description: bacterial SSU rRNA
Rfam family: Bacterial small subunit ribosomal RNA
Source: RNAcentral